UGAUUACUUCCUCCGUCUCAAAAUUCUUGUCUUAGAUUAGUCUAGAUACGGAUGUAUCUAAUACUAAAAAGUGACUUGAUACAUCCGUAUUUAGACAAAUUUAAGACAAAAAUUUAGAAGCGGAGGGAGUACUUU
This is a non-coding RNA of Triticum aestivum (bread wheat), 135 nucleotides long. NCBI's taxonomy places the organism in Eukaryota, Viridiplantae, Streptophyta, Magnoliopsida, Poales, Poaceae. The record is from Rfam.